Non-coding RNA from Ornithorhynchus anatinus (platypus), 72 nucleotides. The record is from Rfam. Lineage: Eukaryota; Metazoa; Chordata; Mammalia; Monotremata; Ornithorhynchidae.
AGCAGCGUGGCUCAGUGGAAAGAGCCCGGGCUUGGGAGUCAGAGGUCUUGGGUUCGAAUCCCCGCUCUGCCA